RNAcentral lists this long non-coding RNA (235 nucleotides) under Lupinus angustifolius (narrow-leaved blue lupine). RNAcentral's name for it is "long non-coding RNA (LANG_LNC000078)". The record is from RNAcentral. Lineage: Eukaryota; Viridiplantae; Streptophyta; Magnoliopsida; Fabales; Fabaceae.
GACCGGGGAGCCUCCAAUCACUAAGGAGUUCCAUUGUUAUUGGGGUAAGGGAAAGUAGAGAGCCACUAGUGAGACGCCACGUCUUGAACUAAAACCUUAAGGUAUUAGUUCCAUGGGUCUUUUCUACUUAUAAACUUUGUCGCUCCUACCCGUAUAUCCAAUGUGGGACUUCACACUUGAAUAAACACAACAGCCUAACCCAUUUUGUUCUACCAUAUCCAAAGACCUUUUUAAA